This is a long non-coding RNA of Nematostella vectensis (starlet sea anemone), 501 nucleotides long. RefSeq lists it as uncharacterized. The record is from RefSeq and is a predicted model, not a curated record. NCBI's taxonomy places the organism in Eukaryota, Metazoa, Cnidaria, Anthozoa, Actiniaria, Edwardsiidae. The transcript has 2 exons.
GUUCUCGCGCCAUUUCCCUUGGGCUAAAGCUUCGUUUUUCCGACAUAAAAUCACUGUCGCCCGAAACAUUAAUAAGUGUUAAUUCCUGGACUUAGACGAAGGAUGUUUCUCUUAAAGAAUUAUCUUCCUUGAGGAUUGAGGAACUGAAAAUUAACGUCUCUUGUCUGUAUCUCGUAACGCAGGAAUGACGCAAAUGUUGUGAAUAUGGAAGGGAACACCCCAUUACACUUCGCAGGGCAGGCCGGGAAAACAGAGGUUGCUAAAGUCUUGCUCCGCUCAGGCGCCGCCGAGAGUAUACACAUCGAAAACUCAAACGGUAAAACGCCUGUACAGCUAGCAAAGGAAAGAGGUCACAGCGACACACUGGAGUUGCUGAGUUAUGAUUACGGGUCUUAUACUUUUCCAUUGCCCUUAGAAAACUAUUUCCUAAAAGUGAGUAUAAAUGAAUAAAUAAGGCCGAUCAAAGUAUCGACCAAGCACUGCGAUAAUAUGAACACCCUC